Musa acuminata AAA Group (dessert banana) is the source of this 3131-nucleotide RNA transcript. It is a transcript of the gene named ubiquitin carboxyl-terminal hydrolase 7, with no coding region annotated. The record is from RefSeq and is a predicted model, not a curated record. NCBI's taxonomy places the organism in Eukaryota, Viridiplantae, Streptophyta, Magnoliopsida, Zingiberales, Musaceae. The transcript is spliced from 5 exons.
UCAGGUCGCCAUAUAUAUCGCUCUUUCUUGGGGAAUCGCGGAAUCUUUUCUUCUCUCCAUCGCCCGCCGGUCGUUAAGGAAGGCCUCAUUUCGCCGCCCAACGAAACCCUCUCCCUUUCUCUCUUCUCGCUUCGAUUCCUCCGUCGCCGCGUUAUCCGAGGAUAGGAGCUGCGAUUCAUCGAACAUGCCGACCGGGCGAACUAUAUCUUAAUGUUCAUCCCUUGUUGCAUGCUUACGCACGUAAUCUUAACGGAAAUCAUCUAAUGUUGUUUGAGGAAUUCUAAUCCAACAAAUCUUGCAAAGUCUGUUGCGAGCCCUACCGAGAAUGCGUUAGUGUCAAAUGGAAAAAACAAAUCUUUCCAGCCAUGGAAAUCGGCACUAGUCAACCUCCCUUUGAAUUUAAAAGUCAGUUGUGUGCUUUAAGUGGUGUAUCCCCUGAGAGGCAAAAAAUUAUGGUCCAGGGUGGUCUUCUGAAGGUAUAUGAACUUCCAUGUUAUAUGGUUUUUUAAUAAAUUUGUUCUGAAGUUAUAAGAAGCAUUUUCCUUUCACGCGGGAUGAUGCAGAUUGGACAACUUUAUGUGUCAAAGGGGUGGUUUUCUUUUCUUGAUUUUUGAUGCUUUUUAUAUCUUAUGAAUACAUAAUAUGAAGUUUUUUUAGAUAUUUGACAGGGUCAGAAGUUGAUGAUGAUGGGCACUGCAGACGAGAUAGUGCAGGCUCCAUAGAGAGGUCCUGUAUUUAUGGAGGAUUUCCCAGAAGAAGACCAAGUAGUAGCUUAAGUGAGUCUUAAUCGUAUCAUCAUCAAUCUAAGAAUCAUCCAGUUGCUGUGAUUCAUCAGAAUUCGUGUUGGACUUUUGAAUUUCCAAAAUUGACCAUCAAAUUGAAUGAUGCUAAAAUAUGCAAGAUCAGGAUCAGUUAUGAUUAGCAAUAGGAGUCGAGAUAGGAAUGUCUGACCAAAUGAGUUGAUCCUUGCUAUGCCAGCUGGGUUAGCUGAGCGAUGAAAGGAAUGUCAGCUUGAACAACCCUUGUUAAAGCUGGAGCUUGUUGGGUUAGGUUAAUGAAUGCUUCGAUGAGAAUUGUGAUACUGGGUGGGAGUGGAGUAACUGAUGGGUGGUUGAUUGCCGCAUUAUGGAAUAGUCGAUGGAAGGUAUAAAUCGGGAAGGUGGGGUUUUCGAUGGAUCCUAAAGUAAGAUUGGGGGGAGUUGGAUCCUCCUUAUUGCCCAAGAGGGACCUACAUGAUUUUCCUUGGACAUAUUGGGAGGGGCCCUCCUUUAAGCGCUAAUAUGUUAAAGCAGAUUUUGGUUGUUCGAUUGGAAUGCUGAUUUGGAACCAACCAAGCUCCUACCCUUUUCAUCUUAGCGGAAGGUGGUAUUAGGUUGAGAGGUUUCGUGCUUGUCUAAUUUGGAGCUACGUUGAACCCUACGAAACUGUGUCGGGCAUGCUCAACAAAGCUCCUGAAGCUCAAGUUAGCACUCGAAUAAGUGGUUUUAGCUAGACAUCGAGUUUGUAAAGGUUGAAUAUACUAAAAAGAGACCAGCUCGGAGAACAUGCCUAAGGAGCCCUUCUAUAUUGAGGUUUAGGAUAAUUUCACUUGAGGCUGUGGUUUAAGUCGAAAACGGCUAUGUGUCUUCUCUGGUGUUGGGUGUUAUUGUUAUACAUCGAAUCCAGAGAAUAUGAUGCGAUUGCGAGUGGGUCGUAACGUCUGGAGGGUGACAUCAUGUCAGCCACAUGGUGGUGAGGUGUCAACCACGUGUUUGACGAGCUGUCGACCAUGUGAUGGAGUGUCAACCACACGGUGACGAGUCAUCCACGAUCAUUAUUUUGCAGUCAUUAUACCCAUAUCAUCGUCCAACCGUAAUUUGCAGUCACUAACCUCAUGAGAUCAACAAAGCCAGAUCUGCACCUGAGUCGGACCUUACUUUAAUGGAUUUAUUUGGACCAUAUAGAGGUCUAACUGCAUUUCUAGUUUGGUAUUUUAAUCUUACCUUCUCAUCAGUCAACAUUAUGGUGUCUGAAUUUCACACCAUUAAACUUCAAGGGUUAUAUGUCAUGUAUUACAUCAUAUAACGUGUUAUAUGGGAAUCAUAAUUCCAUGUCGUUUGUCGGUUGUGUGACCUCAUUGUUGAUGCAUGAUUGAAAACUUUUCAUGUACACUUUGAGUUGUCGUUUCAUUGGCCAUCUAUUGUUGUUUAAUAACUUGAUUAUUGACAUUUUUAUGAGGUAAUGUUUCUGCAUCCAUAUGCAUGCAUGCACGUGAACUACACUGACAGAGAGAGAAAUAGAGCUAAUUGUUUUCAUCAAUUGUACCAUCUUUGCCACAUUGCCAAACACAAAUUCAGAACUUGUAUAAAGGUUCCACUAAGGAUCCUCUUCGCACUUGAAGAAGAGCAGGCCUGCUGUGUGUGGCUUCACAUGGUACAGGCACCAGACCAGAGCACUGUUGAUGUGCUGCUGCAUGAUUAAUGCUUACGUAGAUUCAUAAAGCUCAUCUGUAGUCAUCAAACGACUCCUGAAAAUGAAAUUUGAAAUGGCUUUCUUAAGUUCAUUAAGCGUAGUAUCCAUAAAACAUUGGGAAGUCCCUCUGUUAUCAUUCGACUUUCAAGUUUCAUGAAGAGAGAGCUAAUCGCUUGCCACAGAAUUGCUUGAUCAUCUUUACUGUGUUGUGUUCUGAAGAAAAGGUGCAGUUAACUGGAAUUUAUGACUUGGUCGCUGUGUUGACACACAAGGGAAGGAGUGACGACUAUGUCUUCUGGGUGAAACAAGAAAAUGCUCCUUUUGACCCAGGAAAAUGGAUUCAGUACGAUGAUCACAAUCCAAUCCAAUCCAAUCCCGCGUAGGGUAGAAAGGAUAUUACAAAGCUAUCUGGCGGCAGUAAAGACUCUUCAAGAGAAAUCACAAGUGAUUGGCACAUGGCAGAAACAUCUUCAUGGAUAAAGCCCAAGCUGGUUUGAUACGAUGGAACAUUGAGGAAAAAAAAGAGAAGAAAAUGCCUCUAUAUUGUUUGUAAUAUAACCUAUUUUGUAUUGAUUAUUGUUUGAUAUAUGGUCCCCUCAAGUGUGCUACAUCCUUUUUGUGUUUUUCUGUCCAAAGAAGUUGGGUGAUCCAGAACGAAAUUACAGGAACCGUUUGCUUUA